RNAcentral lists this unclassified non-coding RNA (378 nucleotides) under plant metagenome. RNAcentral describes it as "partial contains 5.8S ribosomal RNA, internal transcribed spacer 2, and large subunit ribosomal RNA". The stretch from base 1 to 105 matches the Rfam family "5.8S ribosomal RNA", at positions 50 to 154 of the family's 154-position model. The record is from RNAcentral.
GAAAUGCGAUAAGUAAUGUGAAUUGCAGAAUUCAGUGAAUCAUCGAAUCUUUGAACGCAGCUUGCGCUCCUUGGUAUUCCUUGGAGCAUGCCUGAUUGAGUAUCAUGAAAUCUUCAAAGUAAAUCUUUUGUUAACUCAAUUGGUUUCUACUUUGGUAUUGGAGGUCUUUGCAGCUUCACACCUGCUCCUCUUUGUUCAUUAGCUGGAUCUCAGUGUUAUGCUUGGUUCCACUCGGCGUGAUAAGUUAUCUAUCGCUGAGGACACUGUAAAAGGUGGCCAAGGUAAAUGCAGAUGAACCGCUUCUAAUAGUCCAUUGACUUGGACAAUACUUUUAUGAUCUGAUCUCAAAUCAGGUAGGACUACCCGCUGAACUUAAGC